This 468-nucleotide ribosomal RNA is filed under the name uncultured bacterium. RNAcentral describes it as "partial 16S ribosomal RNA". It matches the Rfam family "Bacterial small subunit ribosomal RNA", at positions 28 to 507 of the family's 1533-position model. The record is from RNAcentral.
GACGAACGCUGGCGGCGUGCUUAACACAUGCGAGUCGAACGGAAAGGCCCUGCUUUUGUGGGGUGCUCGAGUGGCGAACGGGUGAGUAACACGUGAGUAACCUGCCCUUGACUUUGGGAUAACUUCAGGAAACUGGGGCUAAUACCGGAUAGGAGCUCCUGCUGCAUGGUGGGGGUUGGAAAGUUUCGGCGGUUGGGGAUGGACUCGCGGCUUAUCAGCUUGUUGGUGGGGUAGUGGCUUACCAAGGCUUUGACGGGUAGCCGGCCUGAGAGGGUGACCGGCCACAUUGGGACUGAGAUACGGCCCAGACUCCUACGGGAGGCAGCAGUGGGGAAUAGUGCACAAUGGGCGGAAGCCUGAUGCAGCAACGCCGCGUGCGGGAUGACGGCCUUCGGGUUGUAAACCGCUUUCGCCUGUGACGAAGCGUGAGUGACGGUAAUGGGUAAAGAAGCACCGGCUAACUACGCG